CCUACGGGAGGCAGCAGUGAGGAAUAUUGGUCAAUGGGCGAGAGCCUGAACCAGCCAAGUCGCGUGAAGGAUGACGGCCCUACGGGUUGUAAACUUCUUUUGUCAGGGAGCAAUUGGGUCCACGCGUGGGCUUAGCGAGAGUACCUGCAGACAAAGCAUCGGCUAACUCCGUGCCAGCAGCCGCGGUAAUACGGAGGAUGCGAGCGUUGUCCGGAUUUAUUGGGUUUAAAGUGUGCGUAGGUGGAAGAUCAAGUCAGCGGUAAAAAUUCGGGGCUCAACCCCGUCGUGCCGUUGAAACUGAUGUUCUGGAGUGGGCGAGAAGGAGGCGGAAUGCGUGGUGUAGCGGUGAAAUGCAUAGAUAUCACGCAGAACUCCGAUUGCGAAGGCAGCAUACCGGCGCCCAACUGACGCUGAAGCACGAAAGCGUGGGUAUCGAACAGGAUUAGAUACCCGAGUAGUC
This 460-nucleotide ribosomal RNA is filed under the name uncultured bacterium. RNAcentral's name for it is "partial 16S ribosomal RNA". It matches the Rfam family "Bacterial small subunit ribosomal RNA", at positions 338 to 795 of the family's 1533-position model. The record is from RNAcentral.